GAGACCUUCCCUCGUGAUUUGUUCGGCCGGCUUGCGGCGAGGUAAAAGAAACGCGCUAAAGAGGCUUUGACGGCGCGCAU
RNAcentral lists this non-coding RNA (80 nucleotides) under Acetobacter syzygii. The record is from RNAcentral. Lineage: Bacteria; Pseudomonadati; Pseudomonadota; Alphaproteobacteria; Acetobacterales; Acetobacteraceae.